AGAUCAGACCAGGUAUGGGAGCAAAUGCCUU
RNAcentral lists this non-coding RNA (31 nucleotides) under Rattus norvegicus (Norway rat). The record is from RNAcentral. Lineage: Eukaryota; Metazoa; Chordata; Mammalia; Rodentia; Muridae.